This 98-nucleotide signal recognition particle RNA is filed under the name Bacteroidota bacterium. Its description in RNAcentral is "signal recognition particle sRNA small type". It matches the Rfam family "Bacteroidales small SRP". From Rfam's summary of the family: The non-coding component of the signal recognition particle in Bacteroides The record is from RNAcentral. Lineage: Bacteria; Pseudomonadati; Bacteroidota.
GAGUGAGAGUCAUACGACCAGCUCCUUUCGAACUCCCCCAGGGCAGAAAUGCAGCAAGGGUAGAUAGUCGAGCGGUGCGAUAUGAUUUCUCACUUUUU